This 397-nucleotide ribosomal RNA is filed under the name uncultured bacterium. Its description in RNAcentral is "partial 16S ribosomal RNA". It matches the Rfam family "Bacterial small subunit ribosomal RNA", at positions 523 to 918 of the family's 1533-position model. The record is from RNAcentral.
AUACGUAGGUGACAAGCGUUAUCCGGAUUUACUGGGUGUAAAGGGCGUGUAGGCGGUUUAGCAAGUCAGAAGUGAAAUUCCCGGGCUUAAAUUGGGCACUGCUUCUGAAACUGCUUUACUUGAGUGCUGGAGAGGAUAGUGGAAUUCCUAGUGUAGCGGUAAAAUGCGCAGAUAUUAGGAGGAACACCGGUGGCGAAGGCGGCUAUCUGGACAGUAACUGACGCUGAGGCGCGAAAGCACGGGGAGCAAACAGGAUUAGAUACCCUGGUAGUCCGUGCCGUAAACGAUGAAUACUAGGUGUAGGGGGUAUCGACUCCCUCUGUGCCGCAGUUAACACAUUAAGUAUUCCACCUGGGGAGUACGGCCGCAAGGUUGAAACUCAAAUGAAUUGACGGGG